RNAcentral lists this ribosomal RNA (636 nucleotides) under Triticum aestivum (bread wheat). Its description in RNAcentral is "partial small subunit ribosomal RNA". The record is from RNAcentral. Lineage: Eukaryota; Viridiplantae; Streptophyta; Magnoliopsida; Poales; Poaceae.
AUGAACGAUGUUCUCUGCCCCUACUUGCGCCGGUUUGUGCUCAUUUUCUUUGAUGACAUUCUUAUCUACAGUGCCUCGUGGGCGGAGCACCUUCAGCACGUCGCCAUCGUCUUCAACGAGCUUCGAGCGCGCCAUCUUCACCUUAAGCGCUCGAAGUGCUCGUUCGGCACGCCUUCGGUCGCCUACCUCGGCCACGUCAUCUUGGCCGAGGGUGUCGCUAUGGAUGCCGACAAGGUGGCGGUUGUCGUGUCCUGGCCGAUGCCGCACUCGCCGCGGGCACUACGAGGCUUCCUGGGCCUCGCGGGGUACUACCGAAAAUUCAUCUGGGAGUUUGGCCUCAUCGCAUCCCCGCUCACGCGCCUGUUGCGCCGCGACGCCUUCGCCUGGGAUGCUGAGGCGACCGAGGCGUUCGAGGGCCUCAAGCGGGCUCUCACUAAGGGUCCGGUCCUCCAGAUGCCCGACUUCGACAAGCCGUUCAUGGUGGACUGCGACGCCUCAGGCGUGGGGUCUGGCGCCGUCCUUCAUCAGGGUGACGGGCCGCUUGCGUUCUUCAGCAGGCCCUUCGCCGUGCGCCAUCAUAAGCUCACGGCCUAUCAGAUGGAGCUCAUUGGCUUGGUGCAGGGCGUGCGCCACUAG